RNAcentral lists this non-coding RNA (26 nucleotides) under Cricetulus griseus (Chinese hamster). The record is from RNAcentral. Lineage: Eukaryota; Metazoa; Chordata; Mammalia; Rodentia; Cricetidae.
AUGGGUUUCUGAAUAAAAUUUGUAGU